Molecule: ribosomal RNA, 184 nt
Filed under: Tinaminyssus streptopelioides
Lineage: Eukaryota; Metazoa; Arthropoda; Arachnida; Mesostigmata; Rhinonyssidae
Description: 5.8S ribosomal RNA
Rfam family: 5.8S ribosomal RNA (bases 8-154)
About the family: 5.8S ribosomal RNA (5.8S rRNA) is a component of the large subunit of the eukaryotic ribosome.
Source: RNAcentral
UCAAUAUGGAGGAUCACUUAGUCCUUAGAGCGAUGAAAACCGUAGUAAUUUGUGGAAAUUGGUGUGAGUUGUGAAAUUUUGUGAGCAUUGUGUUUUUGAAUGAAAAUUUCAGUACAGAUGCGAAUGUAUCUAUGCUGCAUUUGUUUCAGUAUAAAAAAGUACUAAUGCGUAGUUACUAUUGCUG